CUCAAAGGAAUAGACGGGGACCCGCACAAGUGGUGGAGCAUGUGGUUUAAUUCGAAGAUACGCGAAGAACCUUACCUAGCCUUGACAUUGAUUGAAUUUUCCAGAGAUGGAGAAGUGCCUUUCGGGGAACAUGAAAACAGGUGCUGCACGGCUGUCGUCAGCUCGUGUCGUGAGAUGUUGGGUUAAGUCCCGCAACGAGCGCAACCCUCGUCGUUAGUUGCUAACAGGUUAAGCUGAGCACUCUAGCGAGACUGCCUUCGCAAGGAGGAGGAAGGUGAGGACGACGUCAAGUCAUCAUGGCCCUUAUGGCUAGGGCUACACACGUGCUACAAUGGGGCGUACAGAGAGUUGCGAUACCGCGAGGUGGAGCCAAUCUCAUAAAGCGUCUCUCAGUUCGGAUUGUUCUCUGCAACUCGAGAACAUGAAGCUGGAAUCACUAGUAAUCGUAGAUCAGCAAUGCUACGGUGAAUACGUUCCCGGGUCUUGUACUCACCGCCCGUCACACCAUGGGAGUUGAUUUCGCCCGAAGCGGGGAUGCUAAACUAGCUACCCUCUACGGCGGAAUUAGCGACUGGGGUGAAGUNGUAACAAGGUAACC
This 598-nucleotide ribosomal RNA is filed under the name uncultured bacterium. RNAcentral describes it as "bacterial SSU rRNA". It matches the Rfam family "Bacterial small subunit ribosomal RNA", at positions 900 to 1501 of the family's 1533-position model. The record is from RNAcentral.